UUUGCUCUUUUCCAUUCUAUGCCAGUCAGUGGUUUUUAACCUUGAAAAUAACAGUAGCUGUCUUCAGUGGGAAAAUCCAGGGCUAUUUUGACCCCCCAGAAUAAUUUAGGAUGACUGAGGGAACCCAAAGUAAGUGUCAAAUGUAAUUCAAGGUUACUGUGCCUUAAGAAGUGAUCCGCUGAGUUCUAGCAGGGUGUAAGAGCUAUUUGGAUUAACUAUUUUGACUCUUUCCCACAUUCUCUAAGAGGCAUGAUCUCAGACAGCAAAAGAAAUUGUCUCUAGGGGACAGGGAGGUGUCGCCCUUGAGAAAUAACUAUAGUAUUUCUUCAGCCUGGCUUUGGACCUGCAUUUCUCAACACAUUUUCCUGAAACCUUCACCUGGGUGUGACCCUGGAAGAUGACAGGAAGGCCAUCUUAAAGUAUGUGUAACCUUUUUUAAGAAAUUAGUUUUGAAAAAAGUAGACUCUUUUUCUUAAAGCCCUUGCCAAAAAUGUAUAAAUUAUUGAAUGGGAAAAUUUCAGUAAGACACAAUUAUUACCAUGGCUGCUGAGGAUUAAGAAGGACGUAAAUUACAUCUCUCUGUACAGAGAUAUAGUGAGGCCUCUGGUAAAGUGACACCUACCUCUGGAAAUCAGACUCAUUUUCAAGACAUAAAAACCUAGGUCAUAAUAGGAGUGACCCUGUUCAUAUGAAUCCUAAAUCUUCUGAAUGGGGGGAGAAUUUUGAAAUCCUUGUCUUUGACCUCUAGCAACAUAUCCCAAAGACCUUAUGAGUUUCAGGAAAGCUUUAUUUUCUUCUUCCUUCUUAAUUUUCUCUCCCAAUUCUAAGAUACUCUCUGGACAGUCUCUUUUAGAGGUCUUUCAAGGAAAGCAAAACUUGGUUUGUCUGCCUGUUAACUGCUGCAAAGUGUGUCGAUUCCUGCUGUUCAGUGUUAGGACUCAAAAGUCCUAAGGAAACACCUAGUAUUGUCAUUAUCUGGAAAAAAGAAGCCCCUAGAUUGGAUUAAGUGAGGUUACUGUGCCCUUAAGAAAUGCCGGUAUUAGGCAGUAAUGAAGGAAUGGCAGCAGGCAUGAAUGCUCUCUUUCAUCAGACCAGCUUCUCCCCCCCCUUUUUUUUCUGUAGGAGGAAGAUACGGAGUGAGCGAAGAGCUCUGAUCUGUUUGGGGAAAAAGUAUCACAGCCUAUUAGUUAGAAGCGAUGAAAUUGAGACCGCUUCAGGGACUCCAUUACGCGGGUGGUGUUUAGGCAGACCGUGUCCCUGGGUGCAGGGCGCUGUUGCGGAGGAGAGGGUGCAAUGAAAUAAUUGGACUUGGGAAAUCAGCUGGGCUUCAGCGGCCUCCUAUCUCCUGGUGGGGAGUGGGGGAGGGAGAUACAUUUUCUUCCUCCCCCUCCCUAAUGCCUCCUUUCUUUUAGCAUAAAAGCUCUACCGAAUAAAAUAGCAGGGAAUUUCUUGCUGAGUACAUAGACUGCCAAUAUAUUUUGAAUAAUGAAAGCAAUGGAUAUAAUUAAAUUUCAUCUGACACGGGAAGAAUUCAGAGCAUGUCACCUCGGAACUGCCUCAUGCUAUGUUAUUCUCUAGGCAUCCAGAUAUUUGGUUGUGGCAGCCGAAUGAAAAUAGUUCAGAUUCGAUCAGUAAUGGCAGCAUCUAGAGGGACAUGGAUUAAUGCACUGAUGUAUCUGGAAUUAGGUUCUUAAAUAAAACAUCAUCGCUGGGUAUUUAUUUUCAUUUUAAAGGAAUACAUUGAAAUCGGAAAACAGAACUAGACUGACUUUUCCCGUCAAGACAUACUGAUUGGCAAACUUUUAUGGACAUCAGUUGAGGGCAGGCUCAGAAGUUCAGGUACAGAGAGUCACCUGCUGUUAUAGCUUGGGAGAUCAGAAAAGGUACAGUGAUAGCACGUCCAAGGCUCAGAUAAUCGUUAUUGUACUCUUAAGAAAAAGAUUAAGAAGUUACUGUUUUUUAUAAUCAGCAUAUAUGGUAAUAAUUACAGCUAAUAUCAAAAAUAAAUAGAAAUGUGUAACGUUAUUACUGCUAAUUAAAUACUAAUCAGAUACUUUCUAUGUAUGCAUACACUCUCUCAUAAACAUUUGUUAUAUAUGCAAAAAGCCCUGCUCUUAGAGCCACAAAUGGUUCCUGUUUCUACCUCUGGAAUUUAUUAUCACUUUGCUUUUGAGCAACAAAUAACUUAACAUCAGUCUUCUCAGAAAAAUGAGGAAACUAGGCGAAGUAAUGGCUGAAAUUCUACUUCAGACCCAUGUAUACACACACACACACACACACACACACACACACACACACACAUUCUUUCUACUUCUGAAAUAACUGCUAGGGGUCAAAUUUGAGGUGCAGCUGCGGCCUCCACCACAGCCACAGCAACACCAAAUCUGAGCUGCAUUUGAAGCCUGUGUUGCAGCUUGUGGCAAUGCCAGAUCCUUAACCCACCGAGCCAGGCCAGGGAUUGAACACAUAUCUUCACAGAGACAGCGUCAGGUCCUUUAACCCGCUGAGCCCCACAGUAGGAACUCCCUACACAACAUAUUAAAAUAAUACCAAUUAUUUUCCCUCCUUUAAGAUUUUGGUUUUUUUAACCAUGUACUAUACACUAAUUGAGCAAGGUGAUAGCACCCAGACCCUCAAGGAAGGAUAUUUUGCAAUUUGAGUAAAAAUGCUUUUUCUUCAUUCAUACUUUCAGAAUUAUAAAUGCGUAUUCUUGGAUAUCUUUGGGGGAAAAAAUCUUUGUUCAGUAUUUUCAGCCGGAGUUUUCACUGUUGUAUGUCCACUUAGUUAACAUCAGGUUCAUGUCCAUGGGUUCAUGGUGGAGGUACAGGUACAGAGACAUGAUCUGGUCCCUCCAGGAGUGCAUUUUCUUUAAAAAUGUCAUAAAAAAAGGGAGUAACAGAGUCAGCCUUUACCAGACUUAUCAUCCAUUUUUGCAUUAUUCAACUUUAGCUGAAAGAAAGAGAAGGAGAAAGAGAGGAUUCCUCAGAGUUACUUUGUGGUACUUUAUGUCUCGCUAAGAGGCCCUGUAUAUAACAGGAUAGGUUUGUCGUUAGUGGAGAAAAGCUGAGUUUAAAGGUUUUAGUUCCCUUAGGAUUCCCGUUGGUUACUUGCCUUCCCCCGACUAUGAUACAUACUCUUAAAAGAGGGGACUUUCUAUUUAUUAUUGUUUCCCCAGGGCUGAUCAUAAGCACGUGGUAACCAAUAAAUGCUGAGCCGAUACAUGAGAUAUUCUUGAUUGUAAGAGAUUAAAUACCAUCCUCCUGGUCUAGGGGAAUGAAACAUCCAUAUAUAUAGCAUAAUAAUUGUGUUUCCAUAUUCUGUCACCUUGGGUUUAGUAAUUAUUUUAGAUACUUUAUUUAUUUAUGUAUGUAUUUAUUUUUGUCUUUUUUUAGGGCUACACCCAUGGCAUAUGGGGGUUCCCAGGCUAGGCGUCUAACUGGAGCUGUUGC
This 3449-nucleotide long non-coding RNA is filed under the name Sus scrofa (pig). Its description in RNAcentral is "lncRNA (ENSSSCG00055006726.1)". Lineage: Eukaryota; Metazoa; Chordata; Mammalia; Artiodactyla; Suidae. The record is from RNAcentral.